GAUGAACGCUGGCGGCGUGCCUAAUACAUGCAAGUCGAGCGAACAGACGAGGAGCUUGCUCCUCUGACGUUAGCGGCGGACGGGUGAGUAACACGUGGAUAACCUACCUAUAAGACUGGGAUAACUUCGGGAAACCGGAGCUAAUACCGGAUAAUAUAUUGAACCGCAUGGUUUAAUAGUGAAAGACGGUUUUGCUGUCACUUAUAGAUGGAUCCGCGCCGCAUUAGCUAGUUGGUAAGGUAACCGCUUACCAAGGCAACGAUGCGUAGCCGACCUGAGAGGGUGAUCGGCCACACUAGAACUGAAACACGGUCCAGACUCCUACGGGAGGCAGCAGUAGGGAAUCUUCCGCAAUGGGCGAAAGCCUGACGGAGCAACGCCGCGUGAGUGAUGAAGGUCUUCGGAUCGUAAAACUCUGUUAUUAGGGAAGAACAAAUGUGUAAGUAACUAGGCACGUCUUGACGGUACCUAAUCAGAAAGCCACGGCUAACUACGUG
RNAcentral lists this ribosomal RNA (497 nucleotides) under uncultured bacterium. RNAcentral's name for it is "partial 16S ribosomal RNA". It matches the Rfam family "Bacterial small subunit ribosomal RNA", at positions 28 to 507 of the family's 1533-position model. The record is from RNAcentral.